Molecule: ribosomal RNA, 497 nt
Filed under: uncultured bacterium
Lineage: Bacteria
Description: partial 16S ribosomal RNA
Rfam family: Bacterial small subunit ribosomal RNA
Source: RNAcentral
GACGGACGCUGGCGGCGUGCCUAAUACAUGCAAGUUGAGCGCUGAAGGUUGGUACUUGUACCAACUGGAUGAGCAGCGAACGGGUGAGUAACGCGUGGGGAAUCUGCCUUUGAGCGGGGGACAACAUUUGGAAACGAAUGCUAAUACCGCAUAAAAACUUUAAACACAAGUUUUAAGUUUGAAAGAUGCAAUUGCAUCACUCAAAGAUGAUCCCGCGUUGUAUUAGCUAGUUGGUGAGGUAAAGGCUCACCAAGGCGAUGAUACAUAGCCGACCUGAGAGGGUGAUCGGCCACAUUGGGACUGAGACACGGCCCAAACUCCUACGGGAGGCAGCAGUAGGGAAUCUUCGGCAAUGGACGAAAGUCUGACCGAGCAACGCCGCGUGAGUGAAGAAGGUUUUCGGAUCGUAAAACUCUGUUGGUAGAGAAGAACGUUGGUGAGAGUGGAAAGCUCAUCAAGUGACGGUAACUACCCAGAAAGGGACGGCUAACUACGUG